Non-coding RNA from Pseudonaja textilis, 784 nucleotides. NCBI's taxonomy places the organism in Eukaryota, Metazoa, Chordata, Lepidosauria, Squamata, Elapidae. The record is from RefSeq and is a predicted model, not a curated record.
ACCCACAACUUCAAGUAGGAUUUGCACUAGCGUGAAAGCGGGGUGCAGCCCCCCCCCACCCCUUUCUCAACUCAACCCGGGUUUAAAGUAAUGUGUGAACCAUCAAAUGGAGAUUGACGGGGGAGAGAGAGAGAAAACUGCAAAUCGGGGGACCCUCCAAACUCUCUUCUGCUUCUUCCUUAGGGGCGCCCCAAAAACGGCACGAAGGCCUUUUCGUACACCAAUCCUGCCAUGGCCAACGAUGAACUGUAGGGGGCGCUGUUCCUACAGCUGGACUUUGGAGGGGUGUGUUGUGUGAAUUGGACCAAAAAAAAUAUUGAACUUCGGCAGGUAACGUUCAUUUUUUUGGGGGGAGCCCCAGUGAAAAAGUGGGGUGAUUUUUUUUGGUGGGGGUGUGUGGCUCGCUCCUCCCCCCUGCCCCCCGCUGACCAGGAGCAGAAUUACGGAUGGGAUGUGGGUGAAGAAGGAAUUUGUGGCCCUUGCUACACCAGGAGCCCUGCCGAGAAACACUGAGGGCUAGAAACUUGGGAGUGAGACUUAUUGACCAAGCCGGCGACUUCACUUCAAAAAAAUCUCUGGAACUCCCCGCCACAAGCAUCUCGACGAGGAAGUUAAGCCGAUGAAACUCUCCUCUUUACGAAAGACUAUUAUUAUUUUUUUGCUUGAUUAAUUUAUGGCCAAUGAUUAAUUUAUGAAUUGAGACGAGGAAGGGAAGUUUCGUAGCUGGAGAAAGAGGCCAAUACGACUCCGGAGAAAAGGCAUCAAUUUUUGGAUGUAAAAGAAA